ACCUGCGUCGAUGCAAAGAGGGGUCUUGGGGUUUUUUUUCCUCCCCUUGUCCUUUUUUUUCGCCCUGUGCUUGAGCCUCAUUGGGGCGUUUUCGAGCCUGACGGGGCAACUUUCCGGAGCGGGCGGUGUCGGAGGUUGAUUUUUUGGGAGGCGGCGGGCUCGUCCCGCAGGCGCGAGGCUCCGAGUGCAGGAAUUCCUGCCAGCUCGCCUUUGUGCCAGCCUCCGUUGGCCUUGGGUGUCUCGUUCGGAUGGAGCCUGGCAUCCAGGCACCGCCCAUUUCUUGGCAUUGAGCUGCGAGGAGAAGGAAAGGGGAGAGAGCGAGCGAGAGAAGGGAAAAAAAAAAGCUGUCUCACUCAAACUGGCCUUUCUCGGAAAAGGAUCCUUCCCCGAUGAUUGUCCGGAUAAGCGGAGCUAAAUCCAGCCACUACUCAACAACAAAACCACUCUCUUCCACGGUGCGUCUCUCUUGCUGCCUUGUGAUUCUGCAUUUCCUUCAGUAAGCUGGAUGUCUUGGCGUUAGUAGCCACGUCGCUUUGUUCAUGGACACUCCGAGGAGCAGAUCCCUGCCCUGUGGCACGGGGGGAUCAGGCUCUGAUAAGGUGUUGGAAUGAUUGUCCUGUCGUUCCUUGAGUGGCUUUCCAGACAUGUGGAGAGGAGCAGAGACUUCCAGAGCGGAGCUGGGAAGGAGAGCAGAAAGAGGUGAAAUGGCUUUCCUUGCACAGAAAGGACCUGCAGAGCCGGUGUCUGGAUAAGACUCAUCCCAGUGCCUGGAUAGGAAUAUCUCAAUGCUUGGAUAAAGAUCAUCUCAGGCUGCCACAGUCCCAAGCUGUCCUUGAGGCUGAGGUAGUAGAUUGAAUAGUUGUGGAGUCUGGUCCUCCCUCUGAGCUAACUAUACAAUCUACUGUCUUUCCUAAGGAGACAGUCAGGUCUUCAGGUCUGCUCAUCCACUUCUGCACCAGGUGUGGGGGCAGGUGGUGCAACUAAAGCAAAUCCGUGCCUGUGAUCCAUCUGUUCUGCUCUGUGGAGGUGAGGUAGUAGGUUGUAUAGUUUGGUGGGAGGGAUUUGAUCCCAUUUCAGGUGAUAACUAUACAGUCUAUUGCCUUCCUUAAAGAGCAGCAAAACCACCGGUGGGGAGGAGCUCCCGAGGCAUCGCUUCUUUUGUUGAGGAUCCAGAAACGCAGCGUGGCAUUGUUAAACAACUCAGUGGGUGUUUCUCUUACAGCGUCCAAAAUUACAUUCUUCCAGGAAUUGCUUCAUGCCUCAGGCACUGGAGCAUGGAGCCACCUGCUUCCAGGGAACCCACCUCUGUUUAAGGUGUGAGAGAACCAGGGAAAUGAGUUUGCACAGCAGCUCCCAGUGUUCGAUUCUGUUCUUUUUUUGCAGGAGAUGGGCUCAAGUUGUAAAGUGUUUAAGUGUGUUGAUUUUUCUGGUCUGACCUCAGGUCUGGAGGGGACUAGAUAAUUUGGUAUAAAUGGGACAGAUCUGAGCUUGUGAUUGAAUUUUACUGUGCCCAUUUCUGAAGUUGGGGUUCAGAACCAGACUCAAGGGCAAGUUUAGCCUGUGGACUCAGAGCCCUGGGAGCUGAUCAGAUCUGGCUGGUUGGCCCCUGCUCAGGAAGUGCAUUUUGUUUUGGACAAGUUCCCAGCCUGUCCCAUGGAGCAGAGUUAGAGGGUGGUUCUUUCUGAUCUGAUAAUCCCUUAUCAACUCGCUCACAUGCAAACCCUGUCAGGGGAAGUUUAGGGCUCUUGGCUCUUUGUAUAGGAUGAGCCAAUGAUUCAGACUAAAAUCUUGUCCUAAAGUGAAGACAGGUAGGGGAGAGCCAAAGGGAGCAGGUUCUAAUCCUUCUGGGUUCUCCCAGGCACUGUCACCUGACAGCAGACAUGUGAGAAGUCGUCACGCUUCAGAGCUCUGGCCCUUGGCAAGGGACAGGGAAUUGUUAAUUCUUCUCUUUCUUAGGAGCAGGUGGGACUAUCCCUCUGCCGUUUUCCAGAGUAAGUAGGAUCAAGACCACGAGUGGAGCUGUAACACGAUCAGGGCUGCAUCAGGAAGGACAUUUCAGGCCAUUAUCACAACCAUCUUACUGCCAGGGAGACGUGAGAUCCGAGACUCCGGGGAGCGAGGGCAAGCAGAGGACACCUUCUCAGAUGAAGUGGGAGGGAGGGAGCAAGGAGAAAUUGGAGCCCACAAAUUUCACCCUGAGCAGAGGCACAGGGAGAGCCAGACCUGGCUGCUGGGUCCGUGGGAGUCCCCAGAAUGAAGCAGCUCCUUUCAGUCCCCUCUGCUGGGACAGGGCGUAGCUGCAGCGAGGCUGGGACACAGCUGGUGGGUGGGGAUGCUGCAGUUCCAAGCAGCGAAGGAAUGCAGCCCUCUCUCCAUAAAUCUGGCUUUUCAGCAGUCCUGGCGACUUGCUGUGCAAAACUACAGCUUGGUCCUCUGAGCUGCAUUAUUAUCCUCCAGCUGCUUGCUCAGGGGCAGGGCGCCUGCCCACAGAUUGCUUGGAAGGUACCAAAAUAGCACCACAAGCAUGGGAACAGGGCGGUAUAUACACUUCAUCUGGAGAGGUGUCCCCUGGAAAAGAGCUAAUCCCACGUGUCCCAAAUGGAAUCUGUUCAGUGCCCCUCCGUGGCAUUGAUACUGAGAAGCUCAAACAGUGGAACUGUGUGACCUGGAAGCUGUGAAUAAAGUAUUACUGGAGAUACUCCCUUGUGAAAAUAAACUUGGUUUGACUUUUUUAAAA
Long non-coding RNA from Parus major (Great Tit), 2737 nucleotides. RefSeq lists it as uncharacterized. The record is from RefSeq and is a predicted model, not a curated record. The transcript has 3 exons. NCBI's taxonomy places the organism in Eukaryota, Metazoa, Chordata, Aves, Passeriformes, Paridae.